UAAUUUCUAUAUAACUUUCA
Molecule: ribosomal RNA, 20 nt
Filed under: Tricholoma flavovirens
Lineage: Eukaryota; Fungi; Basidiomycota; Agaricomycetes; Agaricales; Tricholomataceae
Description: partial 5.8S ribosomal RNA
Source: RNAcentral